CUGCAAGAUUCUGGGUGGAGGCUGGACCUUUAGACAGACAGGCUGUGUGUGAGUCCUCUGCUGCAGUCCAGGCUGAAACAGUGGACACUUUCAUUUGGCGUCAUGUCUGCGAGGUUGUUCUGUGGAUUUCUGCUCCUUGCAGUGUUCCUCAGUGGACUGAAUGGAUCAAGACCAGCUGUAAAGCAGGAGCUGUCAGCUAUUCU
Molecule: long non-coding RNA, 203 nt
Organism: Haplochromis burtoni (Burton's mouthbrooder)
Lineage: Eukaryota; Metazoa; Chordata; Actinopteri; Cichliformes; Cichlidae
Exons: 3
Source: RefSeq, a predicted model, not a curated record